This 676-nucleotide long non-coding RNA is filed under the name Mytilus galloprovincialis (Mediterranean mussel). Lineage: Eukaryota; Metazoa; Mollusca; Bivalvia; Mytilida; Mytilidae. The record is from RNAcentral.
CAAUAAUGUUCAGCAAAGUAAGAUUUACAAAUAAGUCAACAUGACCAAAAUGGUCAGUUGACCACUUUAGGAGUUAUUGCCCUUUAUAGUCAAUUUUUAACCAUUUUUCGUAAAUCUUAGUAAUCUUUUACAAAAAUCUUCUCCUCUGAAACUACUGGGCCAAAUUUAACCAUACUUGGCCACAAUCAUCAUUGGGGUAUCUAGUUUAAAAAAUGUGUGGCAUGACCCGACCAACCAACCAAGAUGGCCAGCACGGCUAAAAAUAGAACAUAGGGGUAAAAUACAGUUUUUGGCUUAUAACUCAAUAACCAAAGCAUUUAGAGCAAAUUGUUUAUCAGGUCAAGAUCUAUCUGCCCUGAAAUUUUCAGAUGGAUUGGACAACUGGUUGUUGGGUUGCUGUCCCUGAAUUGGUAAUUUUAAGGAAAUUUUGCCGUUUUUUGUUAUUUUCUUGAAUAUUAUUAUAGAAAGAGAUAAACUGUAAACAGCAAUAAUGUACAGCAAAGUAAGACCUAAAGAUAAGUCAACAUGACCAAAAGGGUCAAUUGACCCCCUAAGGAGGUAUUGUCUUUUAUAGUCAAGUUUUAACAAUUUUCAUAAAAUUUGUAAAUUUUUACUAACAUUUUCAACUGAAACUACUGGGCCAAGUUCAUUAUAGAUAGAGAUAAUUGUAAGCAGC